UAGGGCACGGUCUCAUCAUAGAGAUGAAACCAAGCGUGAGAUGGUUAAGAGGUUAAGGUGAAUUUUGGUUCAAGGUGAGAAUUCACAGGUUUUGGUCCACUGAGCCAUGAUUCCCAUGCUUACAUAUCUGUGGAACAGCAGCUGUGAGGUGAAACUCUGAGAAAUAUUCUCAGUGAAGUUGACAAUUUUAAAAGACCCCUCCUCCUUCCCCUCUUCUUCUGAUACAGAAUCUGUCACAUUCCUCACAGCUACCUGUCUUCCUUGGCUUGAAUACCUUGGGCAGGGUGCUUGCUUCUGCACAAUCAACUCAUCUCAGAUCCAAGGAUCACUUCUUGACAAAAGGAAGAACUUACAUGACGAAGGAAGAAGGAGGAAACGAAGAUGGUGUCCAUUUUCCCCGCCAGUGGAUGAAGUGGGUGGUGACCCUUUUGACCAAGCUAAGGAAUCAGAGGAGGAAUACAGUUUGUAGCUGUUGAGCUGGAGGCGGCCAGGGUAAGGAGGCCAGGCAGUACGGGACAAGUGGGGUUGAGGUUCAGGCAAGAAGUCUAGGGUGGGAAUCCAGGUCUGCAAGUCCCAGAGACUAUGUGAAGCUGCAGGAAGAGCCCAAGGAGCGUCUGGAGUGAGUGAAGAGAAACGGGAGUGGGUGAGACCCUGGAACUGCCAGUCUAUAAAGAGUGGGCAGACGGGGAAAGCUAAUACAGAGAUGGAGGAGGGAAGACUUAUCAGAAAAGCAGGUAAAAUAACUUCAAGAAUGGACAACUAAGAGAGUCAAGGGAGAAGAGCUACAGAAAGGAAAGGAUCAAUGAGAAAAGUGACCUGACCUCCUCAAUGGGUCACUGAAGAAUCUACAAGAAUUAACAACUCCUCCCCUACGCCCCUUUACCCAAUACAUCUACCCAUUAAUGCACCAACAUGGUCUGACUGCUGCUGCUUGUUUUCCUACCUAUCUGUGUCCCUCUACCCAGCUAUAAGCAACCUCACGCCCCCUCCCCAAGCAGGGCAGAGAUCAUGCCCUAUUUACCUUUAUGUUCUGAAAACUUAGCAUAAUUCCUGCUUCAUAGCAGGUGCCCAAUGAAUUCUUGUUGAAACUAAUCCCUUUUCUUGAGGAAAGAACUAAGGUCACUUUCUGAGAGUGAAGGGGUAAGAACAGGGUGAGAACUUGAGAAAAGGAGUUACGUUCAGAAAUAACCAUGCUGGGGAGUGGCAAGGUGGCUGGCUAAGGCUCCAUAUAAGGAGCGUUGGGUAAAAGUCUGCACCAGGGGAGACAGGGAUGUUUUAUCACAUUAGCUGAAGAACAGCAUUAGCAGCAAUGAGGUAAUGAAGCAUGCACACCCUAGGAAGAGAAAAAAAAAAAACCAAGAUGAGGCUCUUGAGAGAUCUGAUAGUUGCCAAGAAGUCUUCAAAGACUUCCUCUCACGCGCGGUCCCAAGGUCAGGACAGCCGCAGCCCCUCACCAUCCUCAGACGG
RNAcentral lists this long non-coding RNA (1467 nucleotides) under Sus scrofa (pig). RNAcentral's name for it is "lncRNA (ENSSSCG00040053048.1)". Lineage: Eukaryota; Metazoa; Chordata; Mammalia; Artiodactyla; Suidae. The record is from RNAcentral.